RNAcentral lists this ribosomal RNA (439 nucleotides) under uncultured bacterium. RNAcentral describes it as "partial 16S ribosomal RNA". It matches the Rfam family "Bacterial small subunit ribosomal RNA", at positions 339 to 795 of the family's 1533-position model. The record is from RNAcentral.
CUACGGGUGGCACCAGUGAGGAAUAUUGCACAAUGGGGUGAACCCUGAUGCAGCAACGCCGCGUGGAGGAUGACGCAUUUCGGUGUGUAAACUCCUUUUAUAUGUCAAGAAAAUGACGGUAGCAUAUGAAUAAGCACCGGCUAACUCCGUGCCAGCAGCCGCGGUAAUACGGAGGGUGCAAGCGUUACUCGGAAUCACUGGGCGUAAAGGGCGCGUAGGCGGGUUGGAAAGUCAGGUGUGAAAUCCUACAGCUUAACUGUAGAACUGCACUUGAAACUUCUAAUCUAGAGUAUGGGAGGGUGAGAUGGAAUUAGUGGUGUAGGGGUAAAAUCCGUAGAUAUCACUAGGAAUACCUAAAGCGAAGGCGAUCUCCUGGAACAUUACUGACGCUAAGGCGUGAAAGCGUGGGGAGCAAACAGGAUUAGAUACCCCUGUAGUC